AGGACGAACGCUGGCGGCGUGCUUAACACAUGCAAGUCGAGCGGAAAGGCCCUUCGGGUACUCGAGCGGCGAACGGGUGAGUAACACGUGGGCAACCUGCCCCUAGCUCUGGGAUAACUCCGGGAAACCGGUGCUAAUACCGGAUAUGACCUCAUUUGGCAUCCUUUGAGGUGGAAAGAUUUAUUGGCUAGGGAUGGGCCCGCGGCCUAUCAGCUUGUUGGUGGGGUAAUGGCCUACCAAGGCGACGACGGGUAGCCGGCCUGAGAGGGCGACCGGCCACACUGGGACUGAGACACGGCCCAGACUCCUACGGGAGGCAGCAGUGGGGAAUAUUGCGCAAUGGGCGAAAGCCUGACGCAGCGACGCCGCGUGAGGGAUGACGGCCUUGGUUGUAAACCUCUUUCAGCAGGGACGAAGCGAAAGUGACGGUACCUGCAGAAGGAGCGCCGGCCAACUACGCGCCAGCAGCCGC
This 472-nucleotide ribosomal RNA is filed under the name uncultured bacterium. RNAcentral's name for it is "SSU rRNA". It matches the Rfam family "Bacterial small subunit ribosomal RNA", at positions 26 to 518 of the family's 1533-position model. The record is from RNAcentral.